Molecule: long non-coding RNA, 371 nt
Organism: Cyprinus carpio (common carp)
Lineage: Eukaryota; Metazoa; Chordata; Actinopteri; Cypriniformes; Cyprinidae
Exons: 3
Source: RefSeq, a predicted model, not a curated record
UAAAAACAGGUGAAGAGAAACUUUUUAGACAAAAUACAGAUGAAAUCGCAUUUAUUGAAGGAUUAUUAUAAAACCUAACGUACUGUAGUUACUUCAGUUUCCCCCACGGACCAACACCGCAGUCUUGGUCUGUAGCUGUAUUAUACUGGAUUACAGAAACACUCACCUAAUGUCAACAUCUCAUACAGCAAAAUGCCAAAGGACCAUCUAUGGAGGAUUAAACAGAAAUGGACACAAUGUCAAGAUCAAAGAGGCUGCACUCAUUUUUCUGCGAUAUGCCGGACCCAAACCCCAGAGCUUGACCGACAGGUCCCGACCAACCAAGACACUUUGAGCCUUGACAUUGCCAUGGAUGUAGUUCUUACUAUGCA